GCCCUCCUGGGAUCUUGUCUGGAACAUAGCUUGUAUUCUGGCAACUUCAGAAACAGGAGAGCAAGGAGGGCUGGCAAAGGCCCCCACUGCAUUUCUAGCUUGCUCAGGGGCCGGCAGUUUGGAAGACACUCUGCGGUCGUG
This 141-nucleotide small nucleolar RNA is filed under the name Otolemur garnettii (small-eared galago). Lineage: Eukaryota; Metazoa; Chordata; Mammalia; Primates; Galagidae. The record is from RNAcentral.